RNAcentral lists this transfer RNA (67 nucleotides) under Drieschia cf. elegans BG-2021. RNAcentral's name for it is "tRNA-Ser". It matches the Rfam family "tRNA". From Rfam's summary of the family: Transfer RNA (tRNA) molecules are approximately 80 nucleotides in length. Lineage: Eukaryota; Metazoa; Annelida; Polychaeta; Phyllodocida; Polynoidae. The record is from RNAcentral.
GGUUUUUUGUUUUGGAAACAAAUGAUUUUGAAAGUCACUAAAAAGGGUUCAACUCCCUUAAAAACCU